This is a non-coding RNA of Vicugna pacos (alpaca), 562 nucleotides long. Lineage: Eukaryota; Metazoa; Chordata; Mammalia; Artiodactyla; Camelidae. The record is from RefSeq and is a predicted model, not a curated record.
GCGGUGAGGGCGGGGAGGUGCAUGGUUCUCCGUGAAGCCCCUUCUUCCUUCAGUGUGACCGCAUUCUCUUUAACGGUGCCCGUCAGGGUUGAGCCAGGGAUGAGCCCCCUCCCCGCAUUGUUUUUGGAAUUCCACCAAGUCUGCAAUCCACUGAGGUUUUGUCCCUGGGCAGGUGGUUGCGCCUUGCCCUCAAAAGAUGAGCUGGUGCUGGGAGCCUUCUGCUGGUGGUGUGGCCUUUGUCCAGAGGCGGUUCAGGAAGGACAGUAGAGGCGGGCUGUCCCACAGACACACAUUCAGGCAGGACACAUCGGAGAUGGUGACUUCACCACGGCCACUGCCCUCGGACUCCCGGGAGACGGCCAGUUACCAUGGAUUCACAGUGCCAUGUUGCAGAGAUCUAGAAAUCAAACGAGACAUCAUGAUGGAUUUUGAUCCCGUGUUGAAACAAAAGCACCUGAUUAUCCUGACUCCUUCUUUACCUCUUUGAAACAGUUUCUCAGAGCAAUCUGAGAGGCUGCCCUCCCAGGCCGUAGUCCUCAGGAAGGCCGCCAAUAAAACAUAA